GNCAUUACAGAAACUGCGAAUGGCUCAUUAUAUAAGUUAUCGUUUAUUUGAUAGUACCUUACUACAUGGAUAACCGUGGUAAUUCUAGAGCUAAUACAUGCUGAAAAUCCCGACUUCGGAAGGGAUGUAUUUAUUAGAUUCAAAACCAAUGCCCUUCGGGGCUCCAAUGGUGAUUCAUGAUAACUUCUCGAAUCGCACGGCCCCGCGCCGGCGAUGGUUCAUUCAAAUUUCUUCCCUAUCAACUUUCGAUGCUACGGUAGUGUCCUAGCAUGGUUGCAACGGGUAACGGGGANUNANNGUGUAGGNCUANACCGGGGCGNCCGGGGGNAGGGGNAUAA
This 338-nucleotide ribosomal RNA is filed under the name uncultured fungus. RNAcentral's name for it is "partial 18S ribosomal RNA". It matches the Rfam family "Eukaryotic small subunit ribosomal RNA", at positions 70 to 388 of the family's 1831-position model. The record is from RNAcentral. Lineage: Eukaryota; Fungi.